RNAcentral lists this RNase P RNA (323 nucleotides) under Chryseobacterium paridis. RNAcentral describes it as "Chryseobacterium sp. YIM B02567 RNase P RNA component class A". It matches the Rfam family "Bacterial RNase P class A". Rfam says of the family: Ribonuclease P (RNase P) is a ubiquitous endoribonuclease, found in archaea, bacteria and eukarya as well as chloroplasts and mitochondria. Its best characterised activity is the generation of mature 5'-ends of tRNAs by cleaving the 5'-leader elements of precursor-tRNAs. The record is from RNAcentral. Lineage: Bacteria; Pseudomonadati; Bacteroidota; Flavobacteriia; Flavobacteriales; Weeksellaceae.
CGAGAAAGUCGGCUUGUUGAUCUCUGCUUCGGCAGGGGUAGGAAAGUCCGGACACCAUAGAGCAGCAAAGCGGAUAACAUCCGUCACCCGUGAGGGUAGGACAAGUGCAACAGAAAGCAAGUACAGUUCGGCUGUAGUGAAACCAGGUAAACUCUUUGCGGUGCAAUGAUAAGUAUAUCGGUUCUUUUCAGUAAUGAAAAUAGGAGUAGCUCGCUCUGAAAGCCGAGGGGUAAUCAGCAAAAGUUUUGCAGCAAUGUAAAACGCAGAUAAAUAACAGGCACUUCUUAGAAGUACAAAAUCCGGCUUAUAGAUUUUCUCGUGAU